Long non-coding RNA from Hypomesus transpacificus, 1650 nucleotides. RefSeq lists it as uncharacterized. The record is from RefSeq and is a predicted model, not a curated record. The transcript has 3 exons. Lineage: Eukaryota; Metazoa; Chordata; Actinopteri; Osmeriformes; Osmeridae.
AACCGGCUGGGCCUGUUGGUGAGGGAGGAUGGCGGACCGGGUGUGUGUGCUCGCACAUGAUAGUCUUCCUAUUAUGAGGACGUCGUGGAGGAACCUCCUAAUUUCACUCAUGGAGCACUUACCCUCUGCUGCUUCGUUUUAUGAAGACGGAGUCGUCAUGUCCAGCGUCCACAGCGGCAGUGGUGCCGGAGCGCUGUCCGAGGCUGAAGUGUUUCACCUUGCUCCCCAGGUCAAGCCCCCCGUUAGCCAAGGGAAAGAAAGACUCCUGGUGCUGUCUGAGCAGCAGUGCCACACUGCCCCUGGUGGGAAGGAAGGACAUCACAGUGAAGGAGGAAGCAGACAGUCCACCGAGAAGCAAAAUAAGUUUCAAGAACCCGUCGAUCAAAGCAGAAAGUAAAAGCAAGACCGUCUGGCAUCUCUGACAUCUGAACAGUUGUGUCGACUACUUAAUUCUCCUCAGAGAAACAGGCCCUCAUGGAGAGCUGCAUUAUGAAACAUUCUGUCACAAGAUGUUUGUCGUCAAGUACAGUCCCGUUGUACAUAGACGUCGCCCAGUGAUGGGUGUUUGCGUGAUGAGGGGAGGUGAGAGGUUCCAGUCUGACAGGCCAUCUCCUGAAGACAGUCCUGUGAGCCGGGCGUGUUUGAUUCUACUGCGUGGAGCCUGCUCAGCCGGUCCCGUCUGAUAUUUCACAACAACGGCAGGUGCAGGUAGUCAUGACGACACUGAAGCCACACAGCAGAGGGGCAAACAUGCCCUGCUUCACCUUUUACAAGUCAGGUUUUUGGGAUGAAAUCGUAUUUACAAAAUCAGAAACACUUUACAUUAAGGUUACAUGAACACAGCAUUGUAAUAGCAUUUCCUAUGUAUCUAAAAUGUUAAGUCAUUCAAUGGUAUUAAGUGUUAGCGGUGAAGGUUAAGUGUAAGAAGUGAAGUAUCGAGGAGGGGCGUAAGGGGUGAGGGGAUGUUGGAAACUGGCAGUUGAAUGUUGUUACCAAACAAGAUCAAUGUUAACAUCCACUUACCCCUGCAUAGCUCAACCAUCCCCAUACCAGGUUUCACCUGUGUCAUUACUUGUACCACUAAACUGUAAUUAAGUGCUACUACAUAGCAGCAAUGUGCCUACAUUCUUGUUAAGUAUUGCUUUGUGAUGACAUGGUAGUUCAUGUAACUUUAAUGCCAAGUGUUUGUGUAGCUGCAUGGUAGUUCAUUUAAACUUAAUAUAAAGUAUUGCCCACAAGUCAUUUACAUAAUAAACUGUGUGCUAACAUCCUAAUUAUUCACAGCAAGACAAGCAUUUCUGUGGCUGUGGAGAUCCUCCAUUGAAGCAGUCUAGUCUACAACUAACAGGCUCUAAAGUGUGUGCAAGACAGCUGAGUAUACAUAGUAAAUACUACUGUUGGUGUACUUGCUGCAUGUGUACUGUAUGUAUAAAACUGCUUGUGUGAGCAUAUCAGGUGUCAGUGGGCCUACAUCAGCAAGAGCUUCAAAUGAUAUCCAAGCAUAUCAACCCGGUUGGCUGAGGUUCCAGACAAGACUGUUCCUGUAUGAUUUGGUACUUAUGUGUUUGUGCAAAAUGUGCUUCGAUCUCCUGUUACACGGACUCAAUUUUGACCUGUAGCACAGAGGGAGGUCAAACAAGAAGGGGAAGU